AGGAUGUAGUAGCUCUGCAGGUUGGCUAGUUUCCUGUUCUUCCCAACCUGCGCUAUGGACUUCAUCAGAUUUCAGCAUCAGAGAGAAUAUGGAAGGACAUCGACCCUAACUUCAUCCAGUGAGGAUUUCCACACACCAUACACUCUCUGAGAGUUCUCUUGGCUUUGUGUGCACACCUCCAGUGACAGGGAGCUCGCUAUGUCAUGAGGCAGCCUGCUCCCUUGUGGCUAUCACUGAACCAACUAUUAAGCCUUCUUAUACAAACAGUCCCUGACUUACUGUUAGACUUACAACUUUUUGAUUUUACAGUGGUGCAAAAGCAAUAUGCAUUCCAUAGAAACUGUAUUUCAAAUUUUGAAUUUUGAUCUUUUCCAGGCUAGCAACAUAUGAAGACCAACCUUCUAUUUUUAAAAUAGGCUUUGUGUUAGAUGCUUUUGCCCAACUAUAGGUUAAUGUAAAUGUUCUGAGAAUAUUUGAGGAAGGCUAGGCUAAACUGUGAUCUUUGGGAGCUUAGAUAUGUUAAGUGCAUUUUCAACUUACAAUAUUUUCAACUUACGAUGAGUUUAUUGGGAUGAAGCCCGUUGUAAGUAAAGGAGCAUCUGCAUUAAGCUAAAAUCCAUGUCUAUAACUUCCUCAGUAAUAUCAAGUUUGUUCCUUGGAGCCAGAGAAUAAACUGAAUCCUU
Molecule: long non-coding RNA, 683 nt
Filed under: Homo sapiens (human)
Lineage: Eukaryota; Metazoa; Chordata; Mammalia; Primates; Hominidae
Description: non-protein coding lnc-SPINK4-4:11
Source: RNAcentral